GCACUUUCAUAAAAGCCCUCUCCUACACCAGACCCAAAAAUACCAUUGCAGGCCAGCUCAAAAAACUCCUAACUAGCCGCCCAACUCUGCCACCACGUCAGCUUCGCCGCCCGCCUCACUACCUCCCCGCCGUCUACGACUACCCUCUCCACCGGCGACCUCACCAAAAAACUCGACUGGCCAAAAUCUCACAAAUGCCAAAAGGAAAGGUAAGUACCCCCUCUCCUCUGUUCCAUAUCUCCCAAAGAAAUACGAC
This 256-nucleotide long non-coding RNA is filed under the name Erythranthe guttata (spotted monkey flower). RNAcentral's name for it is "long non-coding RNA (EGUT_LNC001943)". Lineage: Eukaryota; Viridiplantae; Streptophyta; Magnoliopsida; Lamiales; Phrymaceae. The record is from RNAcentral.